This 1401-nucleotide ribosomal RNA is filed under the name uncultured bacterium. RNAcentral describes it as "bacterial SSU rRNA". It matches the Rfam family "Bacterial small subunit ribosomal RNA". The record is from RNAcentral.
CCUUAGAGUUUGAUCCUUUCUCAGGAUGAACGCUAGCUACAGGCUUAACACAUGCAAGUCGAGGGGCAGCAUGGUCUUAGCUUGCUAAGGCCGAUGGCGACCGGCGCACGGGUGAGUAACACGUAUCCAACCUGCCGUCUACUCUUGGACAGCCUUCUGAAAGGAAGAUUAAUACAAGAUGGCAUCAUGAGUCCGCAUGUUCACAUGAUUAAAGGUAUUCCGGUAGACGAUGGGGAUGCGUUCCAUUAGAUAGUAGGCGGGGUAACGGCCCACCUAGUCUUCGAUGGAUAGGGGUUCUGAGAGGAAGGUCCCCCACAUUGGAACUGAGACACGGUCCAAACUCCUACGGGAGGCAGCAGUGAGGAAUAUUGGUCAAUGGGCGAGAGUCUGAACCAGCCAAGUAGCGUGAAGGAUGACUGCCCUAUGGGUUGUAAACUUCUUUUAUAAAGGAAUAAAGUCGGGUAUGCAUACCCGUUUGCAUGUACUUUAUGAAUAAGGAUCGGCUAACUCCGUGCCAGCAGCCGCGGUAAUACGGAGGAUCCGAGCGUUAUCCGGAUUUAUUGGGUUUAAAGGGAGCGUAGAUGGAUGUUUAAGUCAGUUGUGAAAGUUUGCGGCUCAACCGUAAAAUUGCAGUUGAUACUGGGUAUCUUGAGUGCAGUUGAGGCAGGCGGAAUUCGUGGUGUAGCGGUGAAAUGCUUAGAUAUCACGAAGAACUCCGAUUGCGAAGGCAGCCUGCUAAGUUGCAACUGACAUUGAGGCUCGAAAGUGUGGGUAUCAAACAGGAUUAGAUACCCUGGUAGUCCACACGGUAAACGAUGAAUACUCGCUGUUUGCGAUAUACAGCAAGCGGCCAAGCGAAAGCGUUAAGUAUUCCACCUGGGGAGUACGCCGGCAACGGUGAAACUCAAAGGAAUUGACGGGGGCCCGCACAAGCGGAGGAACAUGUGGUUUAAUUCGAUGAUACGCGAGGAACCUUACCCGGGCUUAAAUUGCAGAUGAAUUACGGUGAAAGCCGUAAGCCGCAAGGCAUCUGUGAAGGUGCUGCAUGGUUGUCGUCAGCUCGUGCCGUGAGGUGUCGGCUUAAGUACCAUAACGAGCGCAACCCUUGUUGUCAGUUACUAACAGGUUCUGCUGAGGACUCUGACAAGACUGCCAUCGUAAGAUGUGAGGAAGGUGGGGAUGACGUCAAAUCAGCACGGCCCUUACGUCCGGGGCUACACACGUGUUACAAUGGCAUGUACAGAAAGCUGGCCGUAUGCAAAUACGGUCGAAUCCCUAAAACAUGUCUCAGUUCGGACUGGGGUCUGCAACCCGACCCCACGAAGCUGGAUUCGCUAGUAAUCGCGCAUCAGCCAUGGCGCGGUGAAAACGUUCCCGGGCCUUGCACACACCGCCCGUCAA